GAUGAACGCUAGCUACAGGCUUAACACAUGCAAGUCGAGGGACCGGCGCACGGGUGAAUAACACGUAUCCAACCUGCCCUUUACUCGGGGAUAGCCUUUCGAAAGAAAGAUUAAUACCCGAUAGAAAGGAGGGGGGUGCGUUCCGGUAGGUUGUUGGUGAGGUAACUGCUGACCAAGCCUUCGAUGGAUAGGGGUUCUGAGAGGAAGGUCCCCCGCAUUGGAACUGAGACCCGGUCCAAACUCAUACGGGCGGCAGGAGUGAGGAAUAUUUGUUACUGGGUGCUAGCCUGAACCAUCCAGGUAGCGUGAAGGAUGAAGGCUUAUGGGUCGUAGACUUCUUGUAUAUAAGAAUAUGUAUUAUAUGAAUAAGGAUCGGCUAACUCCGUGCCAGCAGCCGCGGUAAUUC
This 406-nucleotide ribosomal RNA is filed under the name uncultured bacterium. RNAcentral describes it as "partial 16S ribosomal RNA". It matches the Rfam family "Bacterial small subunit ribosomal RNA", at positions 28 to 526 of the family's 1533-position model. The record is from RNAcentral.